Canis lupus familiaris (dog) is the source of this 3797-nucleotide long non-coding RNA. RefSeq lists it as uncharacterized. The transcript has 3 exons. Lineage: Eukaryota; Metazoa; Chordata; Mammalia; Carnivora; Canidae. The record is from RefSeq and is a predicted model, not a curated record.
CAGGCUCCAUGCACCGGGAGCCCGACGUGGGACUCGACCCCGGGUCUCCAGGAUCGCGCCCUGGGCCAAAGGCAGGCGCCAAACCGCUGCGCCACCCAGGGAUCCCAUCACAGAAGAAUCCUAACCAAACCCAGGCCAUUGGCACACGAUGGCACAUGGGGAUCUGGGUGCUAGUCUAGGCAUCGUGGGACAGGCUGAAUGUGCCUUUAAUGGGUGUGGCAUUUAGAAGGGAAAGAUUUAUUAACUGGAAUUACAUUAGGGGGUGUUCUCUUCCCCGAAGAAGGCAGAGGAUGGCCAUCAGCCCUGGAAAAGAAGGACAUGAGGCAGGCUCAGUGAUAGAAACACUGGGAACCAGCACAGGGAAGGGCAGUGACCUGACCCAGCAGGGCCCCUGGAUUGUUUGAAGACAGAGGCCAAAGUAGAUUCACAGUGAUCACCCUCCACCCUUUGGGAAUCUUAGAGACCCCAAACCUGUGGAAGUCCUCUGGGGCACCUGACCUGGGAGGGAUCAGAGUGAAGACAGUCUACCCGACAGGGAGCCAGGGUAACGCCGGCCCUGCUACAGCACAGCACACGCUGGAAACCAUCCUCCCAUGAGGCUCUGAGCUGAGACAGGGUGACCGGCUUUGUCCCCAAUUCAGAACCCAGGAAAAACUGAGUCAUGUCCAUACUCUCUGGUGAACAGGCAAGGGCAGCUGUGCUGAGAAGGUGGUGCUAGCACCUCUAACAUUGCUGUAGUUGAUAUCUAGUCCCCCAGGGAUGCUUGGGUGGAUUAGACACCUCCAAGGUUGAGCAUCUGCCUUCAGCUCAGGGCAUGACCCCAGGGUUCUGGGAUCAAGUCUCACAUUGGGCUCCCCGCAGGGAGCCUGCAUCUCCCUCUGCCUGUGUCUUUGCUUCUCUGUCUCUCUCUGUCUCUCAUGAAUAAAUAAAUAAAAUCUUAAAAAAAAAAUAACCUAAAGUGCUGGCAGCAAUACUAACAACAAGGUGUCUGGAAAUGUACUGUAGACUGUGAAUGAGGGACAUGAAGACGCUUAACCUUGGAGGGAUGUACGAUGAGAUGCGGUGGUUGACAAUACACAAGGUUUGUGGAAAAGGAGAAUCAUAGGCGCUCUGAUGCUCCGGGGGGCAAACCAGGGUCACUGUCCAAGAGGAAGACUAUCCUAUGCGGUCUCCACCCAUGGGGGUUGCAGCCCGAGAGCCCGGAGCUCCCUGUCCAGCUGCAGAACUGGACAGGUCACUGGAUGCCUGCUCACAAAUCUCUGUGACCAAGACCCUGCGGGUCUGCCAAAGCCAGAGGCGGGGAUUGCUGCAGGAGCACCCCCCAUGUAUUGGGAGAGAUGCAGAUUCUGUCCCGCUUCCCUACCUGGGCAGGGGCUCCGGGUGCAUCACAUGCAGUGCUGCCCUUUUGAUGACACCAUUCUGAAGAGCUUCCAUCAGGGCAUCCUGAUAGACUAACAGACCUGAUCAGAGAGAAAAGGCCCCUGCAUGAGUACAGUUGGACGGUCCCCAGGAAGGGUGCUCUGCUCUUAGCAGCUGCUGUUGCAAACACAUCCUGAUCUUGCCAAACAUCUGACAGAGGCCGCAAGCUUCUUCGUGUCUCUUCGUUGUUGGAUGUGGGGCUGACACGUGCCAGGCAGUGCACUAGGCCUGCACACACACUCUCCCACUAGAUCCUCCAAACACUGGGCAGCCAGUCCUCAUUUUACUCACGAGGAACUGAGGCCUGACGGCAGGUCACAUAACUCCUAGCAAAUCAGCCCAGACCCUGUGGCCUGGGCCCAUGUUGCGUCACUACCUCCUGGCAUGAGCAUUUGUUCUUUGGGGUAGGGAUGCCACCCUGACAGCUGCGUAUGCACGAUGGACACUAAGCCACAAGCAGAAUUCUCAACUGUCCUUUCAGAUUCAGAAGAGCCGAGCACAUUUGAGCAGAAACUGAGAAGAAAACCCUUUCCUUCGGCAUGGAGCUCUUUUCCUCUGGGCAGCGGGAGCAGCAGGGGAGGCUGCUGGAAAAGCCUAGUCCACGCCCUUUCCCGGCUGUUUUCCCAGAAUCUCAAGCACGUCCACCAGCCUCUGAUGUUACUGAAACUACUUGCUCCUUCCUGCUCACCUAGAGGGUCUGAAUUUUCAGAGAACUCUGGAGCAAGUUAGCCCAGCCCUGUGCAUGCCAACGUGGGGCAGUGGGCCCUCCCGCAAGACGGAGCGAUUCUGGGACACCAGCACCUGUGUCUGAGAAUUCAGCCCAAUUCUGAUGCUGUCUACCUUGGAAAUAGCAUCCAAUCCCACAGGUGAAGGGCUCAGGCCUCUCAUGCUGCCCCCACCCCUGACCUCAGACACUGGUCAGAUGUCCCAGGCUGUUACUUGUAUUUCUGGCCAAGUAGCCACCAGUUGGAGAUUCCAGUGACUUCCUCCUUAGGCUCCGUUAAUUUGUGGCAGUGGCUCACAGAACUCAGGGAGACACUCACAUUUACCUCUUUGUUAAGGGAUCUGAGAGAGGGUGAGAACCCACAGCCCAAUGAAGAGGCGCACAGGGAGAGAUUUGGGGACAGGGCAUGGAGCCUGCAUGCCUUCUGCUGACAGCUGCCAUUCUCCCUAGUCCCUGGGUCUUCACUGAUUCAGAAGCUUCUGAACCCAGGCAUUUUGGGUUAUUAUGGAGGCUUCUCUGCUUGGCCACAAUUCAUGAAAUCAUUGGCCACUGGCUGAUUGAAACGCCAGGCCCUCUCAUCUCCCCAGAGGUCAGGUGUGGGCCCCAUGGUUGGGCCUCCUGGCAGCAGCCCCUGCCCUUGAUCGAGUGGGUUCCAGAAGGCACCUUUUUUAAACAAAUGGCACCUUUAUCACUCAACGCUUCAGAGAUUUUGAGGGUUUGGACAGUAGGAGCCAGAAACUGUGCAUGAAGACCACAGCAGAAUAACCUACUAUGUUUCUUACAAAUCAUCAUCUCAGGUGGCAAGCAUGGUCUUCCUUGUUCUACAGAAGAGACAGGAGCGGCUCUUGGGAGCCCUAGGUGUCCCGUGUCCUCUGGCCCCCAGCCCACAGAGGUCACUGGCCUGAAUGUCCGACAUCAGUGCCGACGCUCUAUUCUUUAUAAAUGCCGCACCAACCCACAACAUUUGGGACCACCACAGGGUCCACUGCCUCUUGUAUGUAAACACAAGGCAUGAAAUGUCGAAUAACCAAACUAACACUAAGCUAUUUAUUUUUUAAAGUGAAGGCUCAUAAGAAUUCAUCCCCAUAAAUUUUACUAAAUUGUACCCAGAAAAUCAAAGUGUAAUGGCUCUACUCCAACAUGCCCAGACAGGGGUGUGAAGACUCCAUAUGGUACUAUUCUCAUCCUUUUUGUUGUUGAUUUGAGUUUCAGAAUGAUGUGAAAACAAAAAUCAGAAAUAUUUCUACAUGGAAAGUAAAGUCCUGGGAACUCAGUACCCCAGCCUUCUACGUGGACUCUCAGGACACCGCGGCUGUGCCGGAGAAAGAUCUCCAACAUGAUCUUCACAUAUACCGUAAGGCCCUUCCAAUCCAGACACCAAAACACCAGGGUUCUGAGCACCUGGCUUCCAACAAGGGAGGAUCCCCCACCCACAACUUGAAGCAAUUCCCAGGAUUCCAGUAGGGUGUCUGAGAAUUCAACUCAAUUCUGAUUCUAUGUACCCAACAACAGCAUCAGAUCCCAGAGGGUAGGGGCUCCAUCCUACAAAACCACCACCCCUCCCUUAAUUAAGAUUAAGCCCCUCUGCUCUUCCCCCAGCUCAUGUUCUCUCACUCUAUCUAAAAUAAAUAAAUAAAAUAUUUAGAAUACUGAA